AUGGCCAAGGCAGCUUACAACCACUUCUCCUCGCUCCUUGGCACUCCAAGACCCCGCGACUUCUCCAUCGAUCUGCGCCAGAUUGACAACCGCUCCGAUCUUGAUGAGCUGGAGUUACCAUUCUCUGAGGAUGAAAUUUGGAGUGUGGUCAAGGCGCUCCCCCGCGGAAAAGCCCCGGGCCCCGACGGAUUCACGGCCGAAUUCCUUGUGGCAUGU
RNAcentral lists this ribosomal RNA (216 nucleotides) under Triticum aestivum (bread wheat). RNAcentral describes it as "partial small subunit ribosomal RNA". Lineage: Eukaryota; Viridiplantae; Streptophyta; Magnoliopsida; Poales; Poaceae. The record is from RNAcentral.